GACGAACGCUGGCGGCGUGCUUAACACAUGCAAGUCGAACGGUAAGGCCCUUCGGGGUACACGAGUGGCGAACGGGUGAGUAACACGUGGGUGAUCUGCCCUGCACUUCGGGAUAAGCCUGGGAAACUGGGUCUAAUACCGGGUAGGACCACUGCCUGCAUGGGUGGUGGUGGAAAGCUUUUGCGGUGUGGGAUGGGCCCGCGGCCUAGCAGCUUGUUGGUGGGGUGAUGGCCUACCAAGGCGACGAGGGGUAGGCGGCCUGAGAGGGUGACCGGCCACACUGGGACUGGGAUACGGCCCAGACUCCUACGGGAGGCAGCAGUGGGGAAUAUUGCACAAUGGGCGCAAGCCUGAUGCAGCGACGCCGCGUGAGGGAUGACGGCCUUCGGGUUGUAAACCUCUUUCAGCACCGACGAAGCGCAAGUGACGGUAGGUGCAGAAGAAGGACCGGCCAACUACGUGCCAGCCGCCGCGGUAA
This 478-nucleotide ribosomal RNA is filed under the name uncultured bacterium. RNAcentral describes it as "partial 16S ribosomal RNA". It matches the Rfam family "Bacterial small subunit ribosomal RNA", at positions 28 to 523 of the family's 1533-position model. The record is from RNAcentral.